RNAcentral lists this transfer RNA (65 nucleotides) under Naupactus xanthographus (South American fruit tree weevil). RNAcentral's name for it is "tRNA-His". The record is from RNAcentral. Lineage: Eukaryota; Metazoa; Arthropoda; Insecta; Coleoptera; Curculionidae.
AUUUAAAUAGUUUAAUUAAAAUUUUAAUUUGUGGAAUUAAAGAUAUGAUUUUUUCAUUUUAAAUA